AGUGAACGCUGGCGGUAGGCCUAACACAUGCAAGUCGAACGGCAGCACAGUAAGAGCUUGCUCUUACGGGUGGCGAGUGGCGGACGGGUGAGGAAUACAUCGGAAUCUACUUUUUCGAGGGGGAUAACGUAGGGAAACUUACGCUAAUACCGCAUACGACCUACGGGUGAAAGCAUGGGAUCUUCGGACCUUGCGCGAUUGAAUGAGCCGAUGUCGGAUUGGCUCGUUGGGGGGGUAAAGGCCCAACAAGGCGACGAUCCGUAGCUGGUCUGAGAGGAUGAUCAGCCACACUGGAACUGAGACACGGUCCAGACUCCUACGGGAGGCAGCAGUGGGGAAUAUUGGACAAUGGGCGAAAGCCUGAUCCAGCCAUACCGCGUGGGUGAAGAAGGCCUUCGGGUUGUAAAGCCCUUUUGUUGGGAAAGAAAAGCAGCAGGUUAAUACCCCGCUGUUCUGACGGUACCCAAAGAAUAAGCACCGGCUAACUUCGUG
Molecule: ribosomal RNA, 492 nt
Filed under: uncultured bacterium
Lineage: Bacteria
Description: partial 16S ribosomal RNA
Rfam family: Bacterial small subunit ribosomal RNA
Source: RNAcentral